This 510-nucleotide ribosomal RNA is filed under the name uncultured bacterium. Its description in RNAcentral is "partial 16S ribosomal RNA". It matches the Rfam family "Bacterial small subunit ribosomal RNA", at positions 28 to 507 of the family's 1533-position model. The record is from RNAcentral.
GACGAACGCUGGCGGCGUGCUUAACACAUGCAAGUCGAACGAAGAGCGAUGGAAGCUUGCUUCUAUCAAUCUUAGUGGCGAACGGGUGAGUAACGCGUAAUCAACCUGCCCUUCAGAGGGGGACAACAGUUGGAAACGACUUCUAAUACCGCAUACGAUCUAACCUCGGCAUCGAGGAUAGAUGAAAGGUGGCCUCUACAUGUAAGCUAUCACUGAAGGAGGGGAUUGCGUCUGAUUAGCUAGUUGGAGGGGUAACGGCCCACCAAGGCGAUGAUCAGUAGCCGGUCUGGGAGGAUGAACGGCCACAUUGGGACUGAGACACGGCCCAGACUCCUACGGGAGGCAGCAGUGGGGAAUCUUCCGCAAUGGACGAAAGUCUGACGGAGCAACGCCGCGUGAGUGAUGACGGCCUUCGGGUUGUAAAGACCUGUUAAUCGGGACGAAAGGCCUUCUUGCGAAUAGUGAGAAGGAUUGACGGUACCGGAAUAGAAAGCCACGGCUAACUACGUG